AGAGAGGUGGCAGAGUGGUCGAUUGCGGCGGUCUUGAAAACCGUUGACUGUUAAAGGUCCGGGGGUUCGAAUCCCUCCCUCUCUG
Molecule: transfer RNA, 85 nt
Filed under: Adhaeribacter sp.
Lineage: Bacteria; Pseudomonadati; Bacteroidota; Cytophagia; Cytophagales; Hymenobacteraceae
Also listed under: 3 other names
Description: tRNA-Ser
Rfam family: tRNA
About the family: Transfer RNA (tRNA) molecules are approximately 80 nucleotides in length. Their secondary structure includes four short double-helical elements and three loops (D, anti-codon, and T loops).
Source: RNAcentral